Molecule: ribosomal RNA, 524 nt
Filed under: uncultured bacterium
Lineage: Bacteria
Description: bacterial SSU rRNA
Rfam family: Bacterial small subunit ribosomal RNA
Source: RNAcentral
UGGGGAAUAUUGCACAAUGGGCGGAAGCCUGAUGCAGCAACGCCGCGUGCGGGAUGACGGCCUUCGGGUUGUAAACCGCUUUCGCCUGUGACGAAGCGUGAGUGACGGUAAUGGGUAAAGAAGCACCGGCUAACUACGUGCCAGCAGCCGCGGUGAUACGUAGGGUGCGAGCGUUGUCCGGAUUUAUUGGGCGUAAAGGGCUCGUAGGUGGUUGAUCGCGUCGGAAGUGUAAUCUUGGGGCUUAACCCUGAGCGUGCUUUCGAUACGGGUUGACUUGAGGAAGGUAGGGGAGAAUGGAAUUCCUGGUGGAGCGGUGGAAUGCGCAGAUAUCAGGAGGAACACCAGUGGCGAAGGCGGUUCUCUGGGCCUUUCCUGACGCUGAGGAGCGAAAGCGUGGGGAGCGAACAGGCUUAGAUACCCUGGUAGUCCACGCUGUAAACGGUGGGUACUAGGUGUGGGGUCCAUUCCACGGGUUCCGCGCCGUAGCUACGCUUUAAGUACCCCGCCUGGGGAGUACGGCCGCA